CUCCUAUGCCGCCAACGCUAGAUGGCUACCUUUGUUAGUUGCCUUGCUUGUCCCCUUCACUGUUCACCUUGCUUUGUUCCUGGCAGUUGCAUUUGUGUCAUGGGUGAACGAUUGAAGGAGUCAGCAUGGUAUCGAAUUCUCUGGAAAUCACCUGAGCACAAAAGUUUGGUUUUCUGGUCACGUGCAAGCUAUCAUGUAACAGUUUGAAAACAAUUUACUUCAGGUUAGUACGCUGUUUUUUUUUAUUCCUGAGCAAAGAUAAAAAAAAAAAGAGUUGAAAUUUAUGUAACAAAUAACGUUUUGGAAUGUUAUCAAGACUAAAGAUAUGUUGCCUAUUAACAUGUUGCAUGUUAAACAUUCGAAAUGGGACCAGUACAACUAAACGUUGUCAUUUCACUUUGUUUGUGAAAACUGUGUAUUGAGUUGAAUGUAGCUUUUCAUUUUCCGAUAAUAUCUAGUCUUUUUUCGUAAGGAGUGCAGCGUAGGAAGAAAUUGGUUCCGGCUAGUCACCGGCUACGCCAUGUGGGGUGUGAGUCCACCAUUCCAUGGCGACUGAAUUGCUUUUGCUUUCACAGUUGUUUCCACCAUUCAUAGAUGGCGCUAUAGAUGGCGAAGUAAUGUAUAUUUACGUUAUUAAAAAAAGAAAAAAAAAGGAUUUGCACAAAGUUGAACAUCAAAAGGAAGCACAGGAAUCCCUGAAAGAACUCAGUUUUAUCACAAUUUUUAAAAAAACUGACAAUGGAUUUCUUGGUGUUAAACUCUGUAGAAAUUGGAUACAUUUGCAACAAAAGCUAAAACUUUUACAGUUGGCAUAUACUUCAAGCGACGCCUUGAUGAAUGUUUCACUUUUCUUCUAACACGUGCCAGUCUAACUACCUGUGGGGUAGUCGCUCAUUCUGUCUUGCACUUGCGUCAUUUGUAUCAUUCCACGGUUGUGUUUGCAAGUAUCUGAUGUCAUCUUCGUUUACUUGGUUCAAGAUACCUGGCCAUGUUUCUGCUUGAAGCACAAAAAUCGCAAGUUGAUUCAAUAAACACAAUUUGUUCUGGAAUUCAGAGGCCAUUAGGUGUUAAUAUUAUUUUCAUAAAUCUAAACACAUGCAAAGUGAAAACCAAAUGUGUGAAUAGCUUAUUUGCCCAGUGGCAAAUACAAAGCUUUUCUUGUAAGGAGAAAAAUCAGGCGUACAUGUAGAAAUAUUGAUGGACUGCUCAAGAAUGGAUGACUACGGUCUUUGCAGUUCUGUUGAAAUGUGGCAUGUUGCCAACAUUUCCGAUUUCAUAGAUGCUAAGAUUAUAUCACUCUGCAGGCAAAAACAGUUUGUGAUAUGAUGAAAUAGCAGUCACUGUAGAUGUGGAUGUUUUCCAGACUUAAAAUCAUCCGUAAAAGUACGUAAGGUAUUAGUGAUAGGACUGAUUGAGUUUUAAAAUAAUAUCAGUGACAGGACAAACUAGAGUAAGCAGAGAAUGUAUAGACAAAUAACACAUACUUUCGAACUAAAAUUUUCCCCUUUGAUGGGUUUGCCUCUGACGUUCAAUCAGGGCACCUUCCGUUGACUAGUGCACAACAAAUGAGCCUUAUACACCUCAACACCUGCCAUAUUCUGCAUUGUUUCUGCAAACCUCAUUUAUUGGAACUGGCGGGGUGAGCUGAUUUGCAAUUUCAUUGUAUUGUUCAUCAUUCCUAAUUCGCCGUAAGGUCCCAAGUUAUUGGACGUGAUUUUUAAGUUAAAUUGUAUGUUUGGUUAUAUACAUAUCAAUGUGUGUGUGUGUGUGUGUGUGUGUGUGUGUAAGAAAGCAUGAUGCUAAAAAAAACUUGUACUUGUACGCGCUAGAGAAAAAGGGAUUUUUCUCUACAACUGAUGUACAAUAUGUGAAACAUUGGAAAGACAUCCCUCUGAGAAAAAUAAAAAGGUAUUCAGGAUAUUAGGUAUUGGUAUUCGUAAAGGCAAGUGGCCUGGGUCUUUGCUUCGAUGUUCUGAGCCA
Long non-coding RNA from Daphnia carinata, 1980 nucleotides. RefSeq lists it as uncharacterized. The transcript is spliced from 5 exons. NCBI's taxonomy places the organism in Eukaryota, Metazoa, Arthropoda, Branchiopoda, Diplostraca, Daphniidae. The record is from RefSeq and is a predicted model, not a curated record.